AACUUUACCUGGGUUUGACAUGGAUUGGUAACGGUCAGAGAUGGCCGCCCCCCUUGUGGGCCGGUUCACAGGUGGUGCAUGGCUGUCGUCAGCUCGUGUCGUGAGAUGUUGGGUUAAGUCCCGCAACGAGCGCAACCCUCGUCCACUGUUUGCCAGCAUUUGGUUGGGGACUCAGUGGAGACCGCCGGGGUCAACUCGGAGGAAGGUGGGGAUGACGUCAAGUCAUCAUGCCCCUUAUGUCCAGGGCUUCACGCAUGCUACAAUGGCCGGUACAACGAGUGGCGACAUCGUGAGGUGGAGCGAAUCUCAGAAAGCCGGUCUCAGUUCGGAUUGGGGUCUGCAACUCGACCCCAUGAAGUCGGAGUCGCUAGUAAUCGCAGAUCAGCAACGCUGCGGUGAAUACGUUCCCGGGUCUUGUACACACCGCCU
RNAcentral lists this ribosomal RNA (429 nucleotides) under uncultured bacterium. Its description in RNAcentral is "bacterial SSU rRNA". It matches the Rfam family "Bacterial small subunit ribosomal RNA", at positions 967 to 1395 of the family's 1533-position model. The record is from RNAcentral.